RNAcentral lists this ribosomal RNA (253 nucleotides) under uncultured bacterium. RNAcentral's name for it is "partial 16S ribosomal RNA". It matches the Rfam family "Bacterial small subunit ribosomal RNA", at positions 524 to 776 of the family's 1533-position model. The record is from RNAcentral.
UACGGAGGGGGCAAGCGUUACUCGGAAUUAUUGGGCGUAAAGGGCGCGUAGGCGGUCGUGUGCGUCAGAGGUGAAAUCCCCGGGCUUAACCCGGGAGCUGCCUCUGGUACGGCAUGGCUUGAGUCCGGGAGAGGAGAGCAGAAUUCCCAGUGUAGCGGUGAAAUGCGUAGAUAUUGGGAGGAAUACCGGUGGCGAAGGCGGCUCUCUGGACCGGUACUGACGCUGAGGCGCGAAAGCGUGGGUAGCAAACAGG